RNAcentral lists this long non-coding RNA (724 nucleotides) under Lonchura striata (white-rumped munia). Its description in RNAcentral is "domestica (Bengalese finch) lncRNA (ENSLSDG00000015070.1)". The record is from RNAcentral. Lineage: Eukaryota; Metazoa; Chordata; Aves; Passeriformes; Estrildidae.
CUGGUGCCAGCUGUACCUCGAGCCAAACCCUUUUCCCUCAGCUGGGAGUUGGGGAAUGUGGGAAAUUUGUUCCUUUUUGCUGUGUUCCAGACAUCAGCAUGAUGGAAAACGACCCCGAAUCCAUAGGCCACCACUUUGCAUCCAACAGCAGCUCAGUGGCAGCCGCCAUCCUUGUGCCUUUCAUCGCCCUGAUUAUUGCAGGGUUUGUGCUUUAUCUCUACAAACACAGGAGGAGACCCAAAGUCCCGUUCAACGGCUACGCCGGCCACGAGAACACCAACGUGAGGGGCACCUUCGAGAACCCCAUGUACGACCGGAACCUGCAGCCCUCGGACAUCGUGGCGGGCGAGGCCGAGUUCACCGUGAGCACGGUGUGCACGGCCGUAUAGCGCCGUGCCCGCGCGAUUCCCGUGGCCGGUGUCCAGUGUGGAUGAUCGUCCCAGCUCACCAUCCAUCCAUCCCCUCCCCACCUCCCUGCUCCCGCCCCUGCCGAGGCUGCGGAGAAGCUGCUGGAAUUCCCCGGGGGCUGCUGGAUCCACCUCCUCCAUCCUGCCGGAUCUCCAAGCCAAAGGUUCUGCUCCGGCCCCGCUCCCACACCUCGGCAAGGCCUGGUGGUGGGAAGGCUUUCCCGAGCUGCUCCCGGCGCCCCUGGAAGGAGCUUCCCAAACUUUGGGAAGAGCUUGGGCGACAAAGAGGUCGUGCACAAGAUGCUGGAUUCGUGGAA